GAUAGCUGUGAAACCAGCAUGGGACUGUUCCAGACUCCCUGAAAGAGGAUGUCAGUUUGGAGGAUUUGAUUUAUUAUUGGAUAUUUUGGCUUCCAUGAUGUUAAUAGUGGAAAUAUAAACAUGGCUUUCUGCAUUUGUAAACUUCAGACUUUUCACAGGCAGCAUCCUGUAGCAUCUUAUUGUUUAGAAAUAUGGCCUCUGUUAAGUAAAGAGAAACACAAAACUGA
Molecule: non-coding RNA, 227 nt
Organism: Cricetulus griseus (Chinese hamster)
Lineage: Eukaryota; Metazoa; Chordata; Mammalia; Rodentia; Cricetidae
Source: RefSeq, a predicted model, not a curated record